Molecule: unclassified non-coding RNA, 20 nt
Filed under: synthetic construct
Source: RNAcentral
GGAAACGUAUCCUUUGGGAG